This 303-nucleotide unclassified non-coding RNA is filed under the name plant metagenome. RNAcentral's name for it is "partial contains 5.8S ribosomal RNA, internal transcribed spacer 2, and large subunit ribosomal RNA". The stretch from base 1 to 105 matches the Rfam family "5.8S ribosomal RNA", at positions 50 to 154 of the family's 154-position model. The record is from RNAcentral.
GAAAUGCGAUAAGUAAUGUGAAUUGCAGAAUUCAGUGAAUCAUCGAAUCUUUGAACGCACAUUGCGCCUAUUAGUAUUCUGGCGGGCAUGCCUGUUCGAGCGUCAUUUCAACCAUCAAGCCCCGCGCUUGUGUUGGGGACCUGCGGCUGCCGCAGGCCCUGAAAACCAGUGGCGGGCUCGCUGUCACACCGGGCGUAGUAGAUUUUAUCUCGCUCAGGGCGUGCUGCGGGUUCCGGCCGUUAAAAAGCCUUUUUUACCCAAGGUUGACCUCGGAUCAGGUAGGAAGACCCGCUGAACUUAAGC